Molecule: long non-coding RNA, 331 nt
Filed under: Setaria viridis
Lineage: Eukaryota; Viridiplantae; Streptophyta; Magnoliopsida; Poales; Poaceae
Description: long non-coding RNA (SVIR_LNC003750)
Source: RNAcentral
GGAAGGAAAUAUUAUUUGAAUCAUUAGAUUCAUGUAGUAGAAUUUAAUGGGGUUUGAAUAUGUAGGAAGCUAAUCUUAACAUCCGGGAUGGUUGAUCUAUUAAUUUUUCUCUCCCAACUUGCAUAUAUCUUUGUUAUAAUUAUAAAAGCUAUGCAUGGAUGAAUAUAGCUAGACUUGAUAAGACAAAAGAUAACACGACGUCCAAAGUUAAAAGCCGUUAUACAUACGUCAUUUAUGAUGGUUUCUCUAGACAACCCUUAUACUUUCCGAUUACAAAAUCCGGCUAGACAACUGUUACAAAACCGCAGGUUGCAAGCACGUGUAAAUCCAC